This is a non-coding RNA of Salmo salar (Atlantic salmon), 1120 nucleotides long. NCBI's taxonomy places the organism in Eukaryota, Metazoa, Chordata, Actinopteri, Salmoniformes, Salmonidae. The record is from RefSeq and is a predicted model, not a curated record.
UAUCUACAAAUUCUAUCUUUUGGGAGGGGCAGAACACAGUUUUCAACCAGCGAUUGAGUUGUGAGACUCUGCUGUAGAGCUCAUCACUCCCCCUAACUGGGAGGGGGCCAGAGACAAUUAAUCGAUGCCGACACAUCUUUCUAGCUGAUUUACACGCUGAAGCUAUGUUGCGCUUGGUGACCUCUGACUGUUUCAGAAGGCUUGCAGUUGUCACAAAUCACCAAGCAACCGCACCAGGCGCCAUGUUGGAAGACCAGGGUCAGGUGGCAAGUAGCCUAGCAGUCAAGAUUGUUGGGCCAGUAACUGAAAGGUCACUGGUUUGAAUCCCUGAGCUGACUAGGUGAAACAUCUGUCGAUGUGCCCUUGAGCAAGGCACUUAACCCUAAUUGCUCCUGCAAGUCGCUCUGGAGAAGAGCGUCUGCAAAAUUAUAAAAAUGUAAAUGUCAGUCCUUUGGAGGUCGUCCACAUUGCUUGCUGCGUUUUUGCUUCCACCGGAAACUUCGGAAAGAUUUCCCAUUAUUUAAUUUUUCUAAGGACCCAGAAAACGGAGGCAGUGGGAAAACCCAUUCAAUCCUCAGAUACAGAGAGCCGUAAAACCAUGUCUGCAGACGAAGAGGUCCCAAUAAAUGUCCCAAGAGAAUAAGAGUACAUCCUUGUAUACCAUGGAUUAUAUGUGUACCUAUGUUAGCACAUUUUGUGAACAGAAAUACAGUUUAAAAGUCUCACACAAUGUGCAAACUUAUUCCAACUGGAGCAGGCCAACUCUGCUGGGUGUGCAGGUUUUUGUUCCAGCCCAGCACUAACACACCUGAUUCAAUGUAUCAAACCUAAUUAGUUACCCGUAGAUCAGGGAUAAGUGGAGCGAGGUUGGCCACCUCCGGUAUUUGCUUUUUUUAUUCACCUAAAAUUAGGCUUUGGUAAUAAUAGCCUACUUACUAAAAUAUCUAACCUUUACAGAUGAGUUAGCUUACUUGUACACUUUGAAAUUGUAUGAAAUAGUGUUGAUUCUUUGAUGUUAAGUGUUUAGACUUGUUUUAAUUGUUAACUAUUAUUCAUGAUGAACUAGUGUCUAUGUUGAUUAAUCACACAUCACAAUCCUGCAAUAAAGAGGGGAAGGGAA